GACGAACGCUGGCGGCGUGCCUAAUACAUGCAAGUCGAACGCUUCUUUCCUCCCGAGUGCUUGCACUCAAUUGGAAAGAGGAGUGGCGGACGGGUGAGUAACACGUGGGUAACCUACCCAUCAGAGGGGGAUAACACUUGGAAACAGGUGCUAAUACCGCAUAACAGUUUAUGCCGCAUGGCAUAAGAGUGAAAGGCGCUUUCGGGCGUCGCUGAUGGAUGGACCCGCGGUGCAUUAGCUAGUUGGUGAGGUAACGGCUCACCAAGGCCACGAUGCAUAGCCGACCUGAGAGGGUGGUCGGCCACACUGGGACUGAGACACGGCCCAGACUCCUACGGGAGGCAGCAGUAGGGAAUCUUCGGCAAUGGACGAAAGUCUGACCGAGCAACGCCGCGUGAGUGAAGAAGGUUUUCGGAUCGUAAAACUCUGUUGUUAGAGAAGAACAAGGACGUUAGUAACUGAACGUCCCCUGACGGUAUCUAACCAGAAAGCCACGGCUAACUACGUG
RNAcentral lists this ribosomal RNA (508 nucleotides) under uncultured bacterium. Its description in RNAcentral is "partial 16S ribosomal RNA". It matches the Rfam family "Bacterial small subunit ribosomal RNA", at positions 28 to 507 of the family's 1533-position model. The record is from RNAcentral.